Molecule: RNA transcript, 4267 nt
Organism: Cherax quadricarinatus
Lineage: Eukaryota; Metazoa; Arthropoda; Malacostraca; Decapoda; Parastacidae
Gene name: probable inactive 1-aminocyclopropane-1-carboxylate synthase-like protein 2
Source: RefSeq, a predicted model, not a curated record
ACUAAUGUAAAGCGGAGGCUCAAGGGUUGAUAAAUAAGAGAAAGAGAGAGGGAGAGAUUUUUUGACACCAAUAAAGGCUUGUCAACUGUGAGGUUGAGUCACAUGGCGGAGCAACACACCCUAUAGCUGCUCCUGCUCACAGCACUGUCAUGGGCAGCCACGCUUACAGCACUGUUAUGGCUAGCCAGACACUGCAGCCUCACCAGGCUCCACCACCCAACAUGAUUUCUCAGCGGGCUCACCAAACACUGUCCUUCCCCACCUUCUCAGCCCAGUACACCAAGGAGAUACAAGCCAACUUGUACCACCAACUUAACAACCCGGAGGGCAUCAUCAACUUUGGCCAAGCUAUCAAUCAGCUCAUGGAAGAGGAAGUGUUGGCUCGAAUAAACAUGCCAGACGCACUAACCCUGACAGCUCGUCAUCAGUACUACUCUGAUCCUUCUGGCAUACUUGAAUUACGGAAAGCCAUUGCAAACUUUCUUACUCGCCACCACAAACCAAGCAAAUCUAUUAAUCCUGAUAAUUUAGUAGUGAUGAAUGGGAUAACAGCGUGUUUGGAUGCACUCUCCCAUACACUGUGUGAUCCUAAUGAUGUGGUCAUUACUCCUACACCUGUUUAUGGUCGCAUCUAUACAGAUUUCUAUGAUCGUUCAGCAGCUACUGUGGUGCCACUUGUCUGCACACAAGAGGAUGACUUUGCCUUACACACAGAAGAAUUAAAAAAGCUCAUCAAGAAUGUAGAGAACAAGGGUCGGUGUGUUCGUGCAUGUGUGAUUUUGAAUCCCCAUAAUCCACUUGGUCAUAUUUACUCCUCUAGCCAAUUGAGAAACAUCAUGGAAAUAUGUGCACAGCAUGAAGUUCACGUGAUCAUUGAUGAGAUUUAUGCAUUUUCAAUACACGACAAAGAUCAAACUUUCAACAGUGUUCUGGGAUUCGAGUCUCUACCUGAUGCACAUCGAACACAUGUUGCUUGGGGAUUUAGUAAGGAUUUCUCGAUUCCUGGUUUUCGACUAGGUGUGAUCCACAGCUUGAACCCGUGGGUCUUGUCAUGUCUCCGAACAUUAUCUCACUACCACUCCUGUCCUCAACUUACUCAACAUGCUGCUGCUACUAUUAUUAAUGAUAUAGAGUGGUGUGAUGAUUUCUACAUUCCCACAAACCAACAGAGACUUUAUACAGCAUACCACAAGGCUCGACAGCGUCUACAGGCUAUGGGAGUAGUGACGAAGAAAGCUACGGCUGGUCUUUUUUUAUGGGCUAACAUGCAGGCUUUCCUCCAGCCUUGUACUAAGGAUCGUGAAAUGGCUCUGUUUAUGGCUUUGGUAAAGGGAGGCGUUUGCAUAUUACCAGGCCAGAAAAUGCACUGUGCCAACCCUGGCUGGUUUAGGAUAAUGUUUGCUGUGCCUGAAGAAACACUGGACAAAGUGCUAAACCUAAAAGGGCCAUACAGUACUGACCUGGGAAAUGAGAGGUGAUCAGGUUUGGUUUGAGGAAGGAGCCACCACCUCCAGUUUCUGUAUCAACAACCCUUUAGAAAGUACCAUAUUUCAAGGGUCUUUCAAGGAUGGAAGCUGUUUUAUCUGUAUGGAAGACUACUGAAUUCACUUCUUCAUAGUUGUCAGGUAGACAACCUUAAGUGUUAUGUUCACUGUCUUUGUAAUUACUGAGGUAUCUGUUUUAUGUGGAACUGUCAAUAGAACUCGACAAGAUGAAUAGGAGCCUCAGGAUUUUAUACUUGCCAGGGUGUUUGUAGAGACCCUGAUGCCAUUUUAUGUAAAUCUUAAUCUUCCUGUGGCUGAUCUUGUGCCAGUGAAGGGCUCUAAAUCCAAAGAAUUGAUUGCCUCUCAUUUCACUUGUUGAUUUAAUGCUCACCCCAUGAAGUAAAUGAUCUUGUAGGGAUACAAAUGUAGGGGAGCAUUUAACCCAUUGGGGGGGUCACAUGUUGGGGUAUUAUCAUAACCAAGUGCUAAACCCAUAAAGGUUAUACAGCAUUGCUCAUGCUUGGGUGUAUGAGAGGCAAUCAUUUUUAAUCUAAGGAUCAAGAACCCCUCACUAGCAUCAAGGAGUCAUCCUUAAGGGAAGUUUUUUUUUUUUUUUAAUGCACUCUUUCGGUCCUAUUAUAGUUUAUUUUGAGGGCUGGCAUUUUAUUUUUGUCCUGAGUGUUGUGUGACCCGUUAUUACUAUUGUAGUGCUAUGGUUUGUGUGUGUGUGUUUUAUAUAUGAUUUUUUUUUUCUGGUUAAGCACUAGAAACCUUUGUUCUAGCCCACUGCAGAUAUCUCUCAUUUCCCUUUCUCGGGAGGCUCUUAAACCUGUAGGCAAAUGUGGGGUGUAUAGCACCUGAGGAGUAGAAAGUAACCAGGUUUGAGUGUAAUAGGAAGGGGAGGAUAUAGAAAUUCCCUGAAUUAAAGCUUUUCAGUAUCAGGGAAUUUCUUGAGACUAGUUCAUGAAAGCCUAUGUAUCUCUUCCCUUCUAGAAAGUUUGUGUGGGGGGAGGGGGGUGUCCUGGUGCUUGGAAUUGAACCCGACCUUCCUUUGGAUUGAACCCUGCACACUCUUGUCCCCCCCCCCUUCCUCCUAACCUCAAUGUUCUUUUGGCACAUACCUCCCUGCAGCACUGUGACCCUUUUGGAUUUAGUGCUUAGUUUUAUUUUUAUUAUCAAAGGCCAGGCAGUUUUCCAUCUUCAAGUUAUGAUAAACAGUAUGGAGUGUGAAGUUUCUAAUUGUUAGGAAAAUAUUUUUGAAGAAUUGAGACACUUAUGCAACAUACGGGAAUCUCUAUUGAAGAAACUUUUCGCCACACAGUGGCUUCAUCGGUCUUAUACAAAGCAGGAAGGUAAAAGUAGAGUAGUAGUUUGAGGUAAUCAGUCCCUCAGCCUGGAGUCAGUGUGUUCAGUCCAUCAAUCUUGUAGAAAGUACAGCACAGGGCUGUAGCAGUGGCUUAUAUACUGUAGUCAGGUGAGGCGAAGCAGGGUCAUAGUGGAACCAUCCACUAGUCUAAUUAGGUCUUCGUCCAAAGAUUGGACAAGUUUUGAAGAAUUCUUUGUAUCAAGAUCCCAUGAUGAUGCAGUGUCUGACAGAUGUGAUGGAUGGUUUUGAAAACAGAAGUUGAAGAAUUGAGACACUUGUGCAGCAUAACGUGUUAAUUUACACGUUCACUCCACACAAGUGCUGAGGUCUGAAAACUGUCUCCAAGGUCUUAAUAUUGUUAACUAAUGUAUACCUGAAAAAACUUAGUGGUCUCUCAAAAUUCACUGGGGUUAUAUUUCUAGAUCUCAUCAAAUACCACUAAAUUGUCUGCCUACCUGAUUUUUUUUUUUUUAGCCUCGUCCAUCACGGGUGUUUUUGUAUAAAAAAUAAUAAAAAUAUUGUACUUCAUCUAUCUAAUCUUCACCAAGGUAGGUUAAGUAUGAAAAUUAUUAGUUUUAAAUAGUUCUGUAUGAUUCUAUGGAAAAAUUGUCCCUUGCCAGCUGUGGUGGUGGCAAGGGUACUAUCUGGGGUAGCCAAGGUGCUGGGCAAUGCGACUAAUGGCUGAGGUGCUAUCGUUUGUAAACUAGAUGUACCCUGCACUGCAAAAUAUUUAGUUUUCUUUCCAUGCAAAGACCCACAAAUCUGUAGGGAUGGCUGUAUAUGCACUCAAUAUUUUCUAAUGACCUUUAAAAAUUUCACACUUGAACAAAACGUAGUGCACUUCUAUUUUCUAGAGUUUAAUCACUAUAUAUUAAUUCUUUUUAUACAAGUAUUUCAGAGCUUACUUCUCUGAUGAUUUUGGUCUACUUACUGUAAUUAAUAAGAGUUUGUAAAUCCCUCUUACUGUCAAAAGAGGCCUUACCCUUAACAAAUCAGUGAAAUAAGUAACAGCUUUAGGGGAUAACUGUUCUAAUCACAAAAGAAUCUUUAAUUUACUGUUCAACUAAUUGCAAAAAAAUAAUUUAAGACUUAUCUAAAGUACAGUUUAACUUACUACAUAGACAGAUACUCACCAUUUUGAAGAGUAACUAAAGACAAAUUUUAAAUAAGAUCAAGUGCUUAAGAAAAACUAUUACUACAAAAACAGAUUCUGCAAGAUCCUGUAGAAGCAAAGACCCAAAGAAAUAAAUUUAAGUUAAACAGUACAGCCACUGGAAGUCUACACUACCCAAUUUCCAUAAAAAACAUUUGUCAUGACAAUUUUUUUUUACAAUCUUUUAUAAAGAUUCCAGCAUUAUACUUUAUGUAGUUUACCCCUUACUAGGACACCUAUUUAUAAUAAAAGUCUAAAUGCUAA